Molecule: ribosomal RNA, 497 nt
Filed under: uncultured bacterium
Lineage: Bacteria
Description: partial 16S ribosomal RNA
Rfam family: Bacterial small subunit ribosomal RNA
Source: RNAcentral
GAUGAACGCUGGCGGCGUGCCUAAUACAUGCAAGUCGAGCGAACGGACGAGAAGCUUGCUUCUCUGAUGUUAGCGGCGGACGGGUGAGUAACACGUGGAUAACCUACCUAUAAGACUGGGAUAACUUCGGGAAACCGGAGCUAAUACCGGAUGAUAUUUUGAACCGCAUGGUUCAAAAGUGAAAGACGGUCUUGCUGUCACUUAUAGAUGGAUCCGCGCUGCAUUAGCUAGUUGGUAAGGUAACGGCUUACCAAGGCAACGAUGCAUAGCCGACCUGAGAGCGAGUAGGACAACACGGGAACUGAGCCAGAGCCAAGACACCGGGAGAGGGCAGCGGUAGGGACUCUUCCGCAAGGGACAAGAGCGGAACGGAGCACAGCGGGGUAAGUACUGAUGGUCUACGGAUCAUAAAACUCUGUAAUUAGGAAAGAACUUAGGCUAAAUUAACCGUGCUCAUCUUAACGGUACCUAAACAAAAAGCCACGGCUAACUCCGUG